RNAcentral lists this ribosomal RNA (337 nucleotides) under uncultured Chlorophyceae. RNAcentral describes it as "partial Bacterial large subunit ribosomal RNA". It matches the Rfam family "Bacterial large subunit ribosomal RNA", at positions 13 to 418 of the family's 2925-position model. Lineage: Eukaryota; Viridiplantae; Chlorophyta; Chlorophyceae. The record is from RNAcentral.
AAGGGCGCAUGGAGGAUGCCUAGGUUCUCAGAGGCGAUGAAGGACGUGCUAAGCUGCGAAAAGCUACGGGGAACUGCACAGAAGUUUUGAUCCGUAGAUAUCCGAAUGGGGCAACCCGGCAGGUUGAAGACCUGUCACCGAGAGGAGCAAACCCGGGGAACUGAAACAUCUAAGUACCCCGAGGAAAAGAAAUCAACCGAGAUUCCCUAAGUAGCGGCGAGCGAACGGGGACUAGCCCUUAAGCUAGACAACUGGUAGGAGAAGGCUCUGGAAAGUGCCGCCAUAGUGGGUGAUAGCCCCGUAUCCGAAACCUGAGUCCAGUGAAAUCGAGUAGGAC